RNAcentral lists this small nucleolar RNA (123 nucleotides) under Jaculus jaculus (lesser Egyptian jerboa). RNAcentral's name for it is "Small nucleolar RNA SNORA70 (ENSJJAG00000007690.1)". It matches the Rfam family "Small nucleolar RNA SNORA70". Rfam says of the family: snoRNA U70 seems to be exclusive to mammals and is a member of the H/ACA class of snoRNA which contain H (ANANNA) and ACA box motifs. H/ACA box snoRNAs are involved in the conversion of uridines to pseudouridines (5-ribosyluracil) a constituent of structural RNAs (transfer, ribosomal, small nuclear, and small nucleolar). The record is from Rfam by way of RNAcentral. Lineage: Eukaryota; Metazoa; Chordata; Mammalia; Rodentia; Dipodidae.
AUCCAAAUAAAAAUGGAGGCCUUGUGGGGGUUCUAUGUGCACUGGCUUUAAACAGCAGCCUCCAUGGUACUGCAAACAGCCUGGUGCUCAUACAAGUUGUCCUAAGGAACCUUGGAGACAGUU